This 253-nucleotide ribosomal RNA is filed under the name uncultured bacterium. RNAcentral describes it as "partial 16S ribosomal RNA". It matches the Rfam family "Bacterial small subunit ribosomal RNA", at positions 524 to 776 of the family's 1533-position model. The record is from RNAcentral.
UACGAGAGGCCCAAACGUUAUUCGGAAUUACUGGGCUUAAAGAGUUCGUAGGCGGCCUGAAAAGUAGGGUGUGAAAGCCCUCGGCUCAACCGAGGAAUUGCGCUCUAAACUGUCGUGCUCGAGGAAUCUAGAGGUGAGCGGAACUGAUGGUGGAGCGGUGAAAUGCGUUGAUAUCAUCAGGAACACCGGAGGCGAAGGCGGCUCACUGGGGAUUUUCUGACGCUGAGGAACGAAAGCCAGGGGAGCGAACGGG